CAACAGUAUAAAAGACGUUACAGGCAGUUCGCAAAGAGUAAAAGUUAUCUUAACAUUCAAGCAAGGGUCCAAUAUUACGAAGAUGAAGAAUAUCCGGUUCCUCGCCGUUCUCAUUCUCGUUGUUAUUUCCAUCCAUGAAGGUAACUCAGCAGGAAAUGCUACUGUUCCUGGAAAUAAUCCGCCAAAUAAUCCGGCCAACCUUCGUACCGGUGGGAAUGCUGCUAACAAUAAUACUAGAUCCGGAGCUGUUGCGAUAACCGGAAGUGUGGCUUUCAUGUUGUGUACUCUUGGUGUUCUGGGACUAUCUAAAAUUAAACUGUAAAAAUAUACGGAUUUUCUUAAAAUAAAUUGAGGAAUGAGAAAAUUAUGUUUUAAGGACGUUUGAAUUUAUCCAACUUAAAUUGAGAAAAAUUGUCUAUCUCUUAUGUGAACCAAGUGUUUUCUUAAUUUGUAUCAUAAAUUUUACGACAUUAGUACAAACUAUUGAAUUGCAAAUCUUUCCAAUGAUGUAUAUAAACGUACUUGUUGAUAAAUACUGAUGUUGAUAUUGAGUUUUGAUUUACCAGAAUUAUACUGGAUUAGAUCGCAAUGUGUUUCGUUACAUAAAUUAAAAAUUUAAUACAAUUUUUGAUGACAUUAAAUCGGUUACAUGAC
Molecule: long non-coding RNA, 654 nt
Organism: Ostrea edulis (European flat oyster)
Lineage: Eukaryota; Metazoa; Mollusca; Bivalvia; Ostreida; Ostreidae
Exons: 3
Source: RefSeq, a predicted model, not a curated record